This 468-nucleotide ribosomal RNA is filed under the name uncultured bacterium. RNAcentral's name for it is "partial 16S ribosomal RNA". It matches the Rfam family "Bacterial small subunit ribosomal RNA", at positions 28 to 507 of the family's 1533-position model. The record is from RNAcentral.
GACGAACGCUGGCGGCGUGCUUAACACAUGCAAGUCGAACGGAAAGGCCCUGCUUUUGUGGGGUGCUCGAGUGGCGAACGGGUGAGUAACCCGUGAGUAACCUGCCCUUGACUUUGGGAUAACUUCAGGAAACUGGGGCUAAUACCGGAUAGGAACUCCUGCUGCAUGGUGGGGGUCGGAAAGUUUCGGCGGUUGGGGAUGGACUGGCGGCUUAUCAGCUUGUUGGUGGGGUAGUGGCUUACCAAGGCUUUGACGGGUAGCCGGCCUGAGAGGGUGACCGGCCACAUUGGGACUGAGAUACGGCCCAGACUCCUACGGGAGGCAGGAGUGGAGAAUAUUGCAUAAGGGGCGGAAGCCUGAUGCAGCAACGCCGCGUGCGGGGUGACGGCCUUCGGGUUGUAAACCGCUUUGGCCUGUGACGAAGCGUGAGUGACGGUAAUGGGUAAAGAAGCACCGGCUAACUACGUG